Long non-coding RNA from Hyaena hyaena (striped hyena), 656 nucleotides. RefSeq lists it as uncharacterized. Lineage: Eukaryota; Metazoa; Chordata; Mammalia; Carnivora; Hyaenidae. The record is from RefSeq and is a predicted model, not a curated record. The transcript is spliced from 5 exons.
CCCCCUCCGCGUCGUCCCACGCCGCUCCCCUCCCCCACUGUCGCGAAGCUCCCGCCCGAGCGGACCACGUGCCGGGAACCGGGCGGGGAGAGACCACUCUUGAACCCCUUCCGGCCUCCUCGAACACGCCAGGCUGCAGCCCAUGGUCCCUGGGCCGGGUCGCCUCAGAAUGGAACAGCAACACAUAUAAGUCACUGCCAGUACAGCAGAAAGCAUGGUUUCUUCUAAACUGAGGAUCAUAUUUAGAGUACCCCAAAUCAAGACACAGUGGCCCACAAGAGGACAAUUUUUGAGGCCAUUUGGAGGAGAUCCUGGGACCAAUUUGAAAAAGAGCCAGAUCCUGCUCUGAUCUUUGGAGACUUCAGAUAUUCUGGAUCAAGUCUAGAGUCUAUGAACUUGAAAUUGUCUCCGUGAGGGUCAUUCUGCCCGCAUUUGCCUUUGGGAACUUGCAAGGGGACACAUGUCCUUCAGGACUUCUGCUUGCUUUGUUGGGAAGUGCCCUUGGUGACUGAUGGUUGCUGCCCCAUCACCCUGUGAGGAUGAAAGGGCAUAACCUGAUUAAAAAUGCCAGCACUUGCUUCUAGAGACUGUCACAUUUCUUGGCUUGUGGUUCCCUCCCUCCAUCUUCAAAGCCAGCAAUGUUGCAUCUGUCUGAA